GAUGAACGCUGACAGAAUGCUUAACACAUGCAAGUCAACUUGAACUUCGGUUUGGGUGGCGGACGGGUGAGUAACGCGUAAAGAACUUGCCUCACAGAUAGGGACAGCAUUUGAAAACGAAUGCUAAUACCUGAUAGUAUGAUUAGAUGGCAUCGGAUAAUUAUUAAAUCUAUAUGCGCUGUGAGAGAGCUUUGCGUCCCAUUAGCUAGUUGGAGAGGUAACGGCUCACCAAGUCGAUGAUGGGUAGCCGUCCUGAGAGGGUGAUCGGCCACAAGGGGACUGAGAGACGGCCCUUACUACUACGGGAGGCAGCAGUGGGGAAUAUCUGAUAAUGGACCAAGAGUCUGAUACAGUAAUUAUGUGUGUACGAUGAAGUUUUUCGGAAUGUAAAGUGAUUUCAGUUGAGAAGAAAAAAAUGACGGUACCAACAGAAGAAGAUACGGCUAAGUACGUG
This 454-nucleotide ribosomal RNA is filed under the name uncultured bacterium. Its description in RNAcentral is "partial 16S ribosomal RNA". It matches the Rfam family "Bacterial small subunit ribosomal RNA", at positions 28 to 507 of the family's 1533-position model. The record is from RNAcentral.